AGAGUUUGAUCAUGGCUCAGGACGAACGCUGGCGGCGUGCCUAAUACAUGCAAGUCGAGCGAGCGGAACUAACAGAUUUACUUCGGUAAUGACGUUAGGAAAGCGAGCGGCGGAUGGGUGAGUAACACGUGGGGAACCUGCCCCAUAGUCUGGGAUACCACUUGGAAACAGGUGCUAAUACCGGAUAAUAAAGCAGAUCGCAUGAUCAGCUUUUAAAAGGCGGCGUAAGCUGUCGCUAUGGGAUGGCCCCGCGGUGCAUUAGCUAGUUGGUAAGGUAAAGGCUUACCAAGGCGAUGAUGCAUAGCCGAGUUGAGAGACUGAUCGGCCACAUUGGGACUGAGACACGGCCCAAACUCCUACGGGAGGCAGCAGUAGGGAAUCUUCCACAAUGGACGCAAGUCUGAUGGAGCAACGCCGCGUGAGUGAAGAAGGUUUUCGGAUCGUAAAGCUCUGUUGUUGGUGAAGAAGGAUAGAGGUAGUAACUGGCCUUUAUUUGACGGUAAUCAACCAGAAAGUCACGGCUAACUACGUGCCAGCAGCCGCGGUAAUACGUAGGUGGCAAGCGUUGUCCGGAUUUAUUGGGCGUAAAGCGAGCGCAGGCGGAAGAAUAAGUCUGAUGUGAAAGCCCUCGGCUUAACCGAGGAACUGCAUCGGAAACUGUUUUUCUUGAGUGCAGAAGAGGACAGUGGAACUCCAUGUGUAGCGGUGAAAUGCGUAGAUAUAUGGAAGAACACCAGUGGCGAAGGCGGCUGUCUGGUCUGUAACUGACGCUGAGGCCCGAAAGCAUGGGUAGCAAACAGGAUUAGAUACCCUGGUAGUCCAUGCCGUAAACGAUGAGUGCUAGGUGUUGGAGGGUUUCCGCCCUUCAGUGCCGCAGCUAACGCAUUAAGCACUCCGCCUGGGGAGUACGACCGCAAGGUUGAAACUCAAAGGAAUUGACGGGGGCCCGCACAAGCGGUGGAGCAUGUGGUUUAAUUCGAAGCAACGCGAAGAACCUUACCAGGUCUUGACAUCCUUUGACCACUCUAGAGAUAGAGCUUUCCCUUCGGGGACAAAGUGACAGGUGGUGCAUGGUUGUCGUCAGCUCGUGUCGUGAGAUGUUGGGUUAAGUCCCGCAACGAGCGCAACCCUUAUUACUAGUUGCCAGCAUUUAGUUGGGCACUCUAGUGAGACUGCCGGUGAUAAACCGGAGGAAGGUGGGGACGACGUCAAAUCAUCAUGCCCCUUAUGACCUGGGCUACACACGUGCUACAAUGGAUGGUACAACGAGUUGCGAGACCGCGAGGUUUAGCUAAUCUCUUAAAACCAUUCCCAGUUCGGAUUGUAGGCUGCAACUCGCCUACAUGAAGCCGGAAUCGCUAGUAAUCGCGGAUCAGCAUGCCGCGGUGAAUACGUUCCCGGGCCUUGUACACACCGCCCGUCACACCAUGAGAGUUUGUAACACCCAAAGCCGGUGAGGUAACCCUUCGGGGAGCCAGCCGUCUAAGGUGGGACAGAUGAUUAGGGUGAAGUCGUAACAAGGUAACC
This 1527-nucleotide ribosomal RNA is filed under the name uncultured Bacillus sp. RNAcentral describes it as "bacterial SSU rRNA". It matches the Rfam family "Bacterial small subunit ribosomal RNA". Lineage: Bacteria; Bacillati; Bacillota; Bacilli; Caryophanales; Bacillaceae. The record is from RNAcentral.